AUUCUUCUUCUUUUUUUUCAAUUGUUAAGUACAUAUGAGGGGGGAUAAACGAAGUGGAUAUCGCGCCAGUGUAAUAUAUGUGGUUUUUGUAUAGAAAUUUGUGGGUAUAUACGUUUUCGACCACCUGGUUCUAUAGAAAUUUUUGGGUUUUGGUUUAGCCAGAGGGGUGGUGACUAAACAAACCCCCCCCCCCCCCACCCCCCCCACCCCACCCCGUAUGGUUCCGCCUACGCUCCCUUGCUUCUAGUUCCUGCUACUUAGAUGUUUGUUUCGACCAACGUUUUCCCCCCUAUUACAAUCUUCCCAGGCUCUACCAAUAGCAUUGGAGCACGAGUCCUAGUGCUGGAACUGAAACUGGUUUUCUUGAUUCUCAUUCUCUAAACCGUAGAGUUGCACUUCCAGAGCAGAGCAUACUUCUCUCGAUCCGUGUAUUCUCUUAUUCUGGUGUCGCUUUGGUUGGAAGGAAAUUACCAUGAUGCAGAAUGGGUGGGUUAUAGAAUCUAGAUAUAGAAAAAAAUAUGAAGAAAAACACUAUAGCACCUAGCUCGGUUCUACAAAGCAAGCGAUGAUCUAGAAAGCGCCUCAGGGACUUGAGCGUCAAAGCUGGUCAACAUCAAGGUUUGUAGGAGGCUUAUAUGUGAAGACAGCCAAAACUGGUCAACAUCAAGGUUUGUAGGAGGCUGAUAUGUAAAAGAGACAGGAGAGAUGUAACUUCUAGUCGUACAAAAAGAGCAAUGACUGGCGUCCAUGAACACCGCCCCACUCUUCUUAAAACCAAGGUGAAAUUGAUCGCUCCCGAAAUUAUAUUUUUGACGGUGGAGGGAUUUGAGAAUAAAGGUUGCCAAAUUUAACCAACUCUUCAACAUCGUGAUGGAUCGCAGUGAUGGGGGCGGAGGCGGAAGCGAUUGACGAGGCCCUUUGCGAGUACCAAACGCUCAAUGGUGGAAGAUUUACGCACAUGUCAGCCUGACAUAUACUAAGAAAGCAUCCUAGUUGGUUUAAAUAUCAAUUAUGUGUUUGUUUAAUAUCAAAUAUGUAUUGGUUUAAAUAUAAUUUUAUUAAAGUGAAAUAUGAUUUUCU
This 1080-nucleotide long non-coding RNA is filed under the name Helianthus annuus (common sunflower). Its description in RNAcentral is "hypothetical non coding rna". The record is from RNAcentral. Lineage: Eukaryota; Viridiplantae; Streptophyta; Magnoliopsida; Asterales; Asteraceae.